RNAcentral lists this ribosomal RNA (464 nucleotides) under Vreelandella stevensii. RNAcentral describes it as "partial 16S ribosomal RNA". It matches the Rfam family "Bacterial small subunit ribosomal RNA", at positions 338 to 795 of the family's 1533-position model. Lineage: Bacteria; Pseudomonadati; Pseudomonadota; Gammaproteobacteria; Oceanospirillales; Halomonadaceae. The record is from RNAcentral.
CCUACGGGCGGCAGCAGUGGGGAAUAUUGGACAAUGGGCGAAAGCCUGAUCCAGCCAUGUCGCGUGUGUGAAGAAGGCCUUCGGGUUGUAAAGCACUUUCAGUGGGGAAGAAAGCCUUGGGGCUAAUACCCUCGAGGAAGGACAUCACCCACAGAAGAAGCACCGGCUAACUCCGUGCCAGCAGCCGCGGUAAUACGGAGGGUGCGAGCGUUAAUCGGAAUUACUGGGCGUAAAGCGCGCGUAGGCGGUCUGAUAAGCCGGUUGUGAAAGCCCCGGGCUCAACCUGGGAACGGCAUCCGGAACUGUCAGGCUAGAGUGCAGGAGAGGAAGGUAGAAUUCCCGGUGUAGCGGUGAAAUGCGUAGAGAUCGGGAGGAAUACCAGUGGCGAAGGCGGCCUUCUGGACUGACACUGACGCUGAGGUGCGAAAGCGUGGGUAGCAAACAGGAUUAGAUACCCCAGAGUC